CAGUCGAGCGGACAGAUGGGAGCUUGCUCCCUGAUGUUAGCGGCGGACGGGUGAGUAACACGUGGGUAACCUGCCUGUAAGACUGGGAUAACUCCGGGAAACCGGGGCUAAUACCGGAUGCUUGUUUGAACCGCAUGGUUCAAACAUAAAAGGUGGCUUCGGCUACCACUUACAGAUGGACCCGCGGCGCAUUAGCUAGUUGGUGAGGUAACGGCUCACCAAGGCAACGAUGCGUAGCCGACCUGAGAGGGUGAUCGGCCACACUGGGACUGAGACACGGCCCAGACUCCUACGGGAGGCAGCAGUAGGGAAUCUUCCGCAAUGGACGAAAGUCUGACGGAGCAACGCCGCGUGAGUGAUGAAGGUUUUCGGAUCGUAAAGCUCUGUUGUUAGGGAAGAACAAGUACCGUUCGAAUAGGGCGGUACCUUGACGGUACCUAACCAGAAAGCCACGGCUAACUACGUGCCAGCAGCCGCGGUAAUACGUAGGUGGCAAGCGUUGUCCGGAAUUAUUGGGCGUAAAGGGCUCGCAGGCGGUUCCUUAAGUCUGAUGUGAAAGCCCCCGGCUCAACCGGGGAGGGUCAUUGGAAACUGGGGAACUUGAGUGCAGA
This 611-nucleotide ribosomal RNA is filed under the name Bacillus sp. FJAT-4470. RNAcentral describes it as "bacterial SSU rRNA". It matches the Rfam family "Bacterial small subunit ribosomal RNA", at positions 59 to 652 of the family's 1533-position model. Lineage: Bacteria; Bacillati; Bacillota; Bacilli; Caryophanales; Bacillaceae. The record is from RNAcentral.